AUAUAUAUAUAUAUAUAUAGCCUUACAUAUGUGCCAAUGCUACUAAAGUGUUUGAAAUGAAAAGAAAAUUAUGGAAUGGUAAAUUGAAGGGAUAAAAAAUGGUAAGAAGGCGAAAGGUAAAGCCGAAGGAGUAGUAUUGUGGUAGAAAAAUUUUUAUAUUUAAAAAUAAAGAAUGAAUGGAAAGAUAAUAUAUAUAUAUAUAAUAUUUGGAAUGAGGUGGAGGAGGGUAUAUUUAAGAUCUCAUCCCUCUUAUUUUAUUUGGCAAGGUACCUGUGCUCUCUCGCCUGCGCUCUGUCCUCUGUGAUUGACGAAUCGUACCUCAGGUAAUUUCUAGCUGUACAUAGCAGCCUUGCAGUUCCUUUAAUUACUUUUACGUUUAUCUUUGCCGUUGAUGCUUACUUGUUCAGCUAUUUGUUCCCAACAAAGGGCUAAAUGGCUUCUUCUUCUUCUUCUAAAGAAACCCAUAAUGCGCCUGAUACUCCAGCCUCGUAAGCCUUGACUCCUCUUUGCUUCGUUUCUUUCCCUUAACAUUCCUUCAUUUGAAUUAAUUAUUCAUUUAAUUAAUGAGUGCAAUUCCUUUUUCUUCAUCGACUUAAUCAAGUUCUAAUUUGGGCUCAUAUGACUCUUUAGUUGCUUUAACUUAGUUAACAGAGCUUUUGAGCAAUUUCAUUGUUUAGGGUUUAUUUCUCUUGAUUGCGUUUCUAUAGAAUCAAUUAUUUGCUUUUCUUUUUCCUUGUUUAUCGCUCUAAUUUUUGCUCCUUUUUUUUUCAUACACUUGGGGGUUAAUUAUUUUUAGGCCAAAGAGCAUCUACAAGGAUCCAGAUGAUGGGCGACAACGGUUUUUGCUUGAGUUAGAAUUUAUUCAGUGUCUAGCCAAUCCUACUUAUAUCCAUUAUUUGGCUCAGAAUCGCUAUUUUGAAGAUGAAGCAUUUAUUGCCUACUUGAAAUACCUUCAGUACUGGCAACGACCUGAGUACAUGAAAUUUAUAAUGUAUCCUCAUUGCCUAUUUUUUCUUGAAUUGCUGCAAAAUGCAAACUUCCGCGACGCAAUGGCACAUCCUGGCAACAAGGAGUUGGCACAUAGGCAGCAAUUCUUUUUCUGGAAGAACUAUAGAAACAACCGAUUGAAGCACAUUUUACCAAGACCACUACCUGAACCUGCUCCUGCACCUGCACCCCCUGCUGCUGCUCCACCUCCACCUUCCAUGCAGCCAGUACCACCUGUGCCUCCAACAACCAUUGCUAUGCCAGCUGCUCCUGCCUCAGCACUUUCUCCCAUGCCAUAUGGCAUGCCUCCUGGAUCUGCUCUUGCAAAAAAUGAUAUGCGGAACACUGGAAUUGAUCGAAGAAAAAGAAAGAAAGAAGUUUGACCUGAACUAUCAACUAUUUCGACAGCAGUGGAGCAAAUAGAUAUGCUGAGAUAGCUAUACUUAUUCACUUGUUUUAUGAGGCUGAUGGUGUGUGAAGAUUCUAAAUCAUGAUUAUUCAUAUCUCACUUGAAUGAUUUAGCCCAUGCAAAAUAAUCAGCUCUGAAGUUUUAGAUGGGGCCAGGAUCAAUCUACUAUGGCUGCCCUUUUUAUUGCUGGUUUCUCACUGCAAUAGAUGUAACAAUUGCAACUUCAUUGUUUUCAAAUUCUCUGCAAUGAAUCUAUUGCGUUGUAGAACUUCAUGAUUCAGUAUCACCUGAGCCAAUGAAAGCUGGAUAGAAAGCUGAAAGUCUUGAAUAAUAUUCCAAUAAGUAGACUUUGCUGGUAAGGAUGUUAGAGAUUUCAUCGAAGAGUUAGCUAGAUGGAAAAUCUGUAUGUAUGUUCUUGGCAUGAUUCAUAUGGUUUAAACCCAACACUUUUCUUUACUCAUUUGCAAGGA
RNAcentral lists this unclassified non-coding RNA (1866 nucleotides) under Hevea brasiliensis (rubber tree). Lineage: Eukaryota; Viridiplantae; Streptophyta; Magnoliopsida; Malpighiales; Euphorbiaceae. The record is from RNAcentral.